CGGGAGGGAAGAGGACCCGUCUUCACAGGUGGGGCAGGCCGAUGCACAGGGACGGGGUACAGCCAGGAAGGAAAUUCAGAAAUUCCCGACAUCCUCAAGUCAAGACCAGGUGGAGGGGAGCUACUGACCCACAAAAGUGCCCACAUCGCGAGUGCUGGAAACAAUCUGGGCAGAAGACGCGUGGCCUUUAACCCUAACCCAGGGGUUGACCUAUGGCUGCAAGUCACACUGGUAAGCCCUGCAUCUCCUGGCUACAACUUAGGCUGUGUGGCUUUUGCCCCGGUCUUCAGAGGUCUUUCGGGAGAUCCGAUAUCAGAGGCUCUGCAACUGCCCAGGGCUCAGCUUCCCUGCUCGAGCCGCAGCUGCCAGGGUGGAGGUGCGACAGCCCCGAAGACUGUAUCUUCAGUCAGUCAUUUUUAAUGAUAUACCGGUAGUCAGGUCAUCAAACUGAAACCCCUCUGUACACAGUGGAAAUGAAUCUUAGUGCAUGCUCUGAGACCAGGGCAAAGGCCUCCAAAAGAUAAAUUUCUUUUGCUAGCCA
RNAcentral lists this long non-coding RNA (541 nucleotides) under Fukomys damarensis (Damara mole-rat). Its description in RNAcentral is "lncRNA (ENSFDAG00000031699.1)". Lineage: Eukaryota; Metazoa; Chordata; Mammalia; Rodentia; Bathyergidae. The record is from RNAcentral.